This 402-nucleotide ribosomal RNA is filed under the name bacterium. RNAcentral's name for it is "partial 16S ribosomal RNA". It matches the Rfam family "Bacterial small subunit ribosomal RNA", at positions 355 to 776 of the family's 1533-position model. The record is from RNAcentral.
UGGGGAAUUUUGCACAAUGGGGGAAACCCUGUUGCAGCGACGCCGCGUGAUUUAGAAGGCCUUCGGGUUGUAAAAAUCUUUUCUAUGGGAAGAAAAUGACAGUACCAUAGGAAUAAGGACCGGCUAAUUACGUGCCAGCAGCCGCGGUAAUACGUAAGGUCCGAGCGUUGUCCGGAAUCAUUGGGCGUAAAGGGUACGUAGGCGGGUAAGCAAGUUAGAAGUGAAAUCCUAUAGCUCAACUAUAGUAAGCUUUUAAAACUGCUCAUCUUGAGGUAUGGAAGGGAAAGUGGAAUUCCUAGUGUAGCGGUGAAAUGCGCAGAUAUUAGGAGGAAUACCGGUGGCGAAGGCGACUUUCUGGCCAUAACCUGACGCUGAGGUACGAAAGCGUGGGUAGCAAACAGG